RNAcentral lists this ribosomal RNA (498 nucleotides) under uncultured bacterium. RNAcentral describes it as "partial 16S ribosomal RNA". It matches the Rfam family "Bacterial small subunit ribosomal RNA", at positions 29 to 523 of the family's 1533-position model. The record is from RNAcentral.
AUUGAACGCUGGCGGCAUGCUUUACACAUGCAAGUCGAACGGUAACAGGCCGCAAGGUGCUGACGAGUGGCGAACGGGUGAGUAGUGCAUCGGAACGUGCCCAGUCGUGGGGGAUAACGCAGCGAACGCUGUGCUAAUACCGCAUACGAUCUAUGGAUGAAAGCGGGGGACCGUAAGGCCUCGCGCGAUUGGAGCGGCCGAUGUCAGAUUAGGUAGUGGGUGGGGUAAGGGCCUACCAAGCCGACGAUCUGUAGCUGGUCUGAGAGGACGACCAGCCACACUGGGACCGAGACACGGCCCAGACUCCUACGGGAGGCAGCAGUGGGGAAUUUUGGACAAUGGGCGCAAGCCUGAUCCAGCAAUGCCGCGUGCAGGAAGAAGGCCUUCGGGUUGUAAACUGCUUUUGUACGGAACGAAACGGUCUGGGUUAAUACCCUGGGCUAAUGACGGUACCGUAAGAAUAAGCACCGGCUAACUACGUGCCAGCAGCCGCCGUAA